AACCGGAUUAGAUACCCUGGUAGUCCACGCCGUANACGAUGAAUACUAAGUGUUGGAGGGUUUCCGCCCUUCAGUGCUGCAGCUAACGCAUUAAGUAUUCCGCCUGGGGAGUACGACCGCAAGGUUGAAACUCAAAGGAAUUGACGGGGGCCCGCACAAGCGGUGGAGCAUGUGGUUUAAUUCGAAGCAACGCGAAGAACCUUACCAGGUCUUGACAUCUUCUGCCAGGCUGAGAGAUCAGCUGUUCCCUUCGGGGACAGAAUGACAGGUGGUGCAUGGUUGUCGUCAGCUCGUGUCGUGAGAUGUUGGGUUAAGUCCCGCAACGAGCGCAACCCUUAUGUUCAGUUGCCAGCAUUCAGUUGGGCACUCUGGACAGACUGCCGGUGACAAACCGGAGGAAGGCGGGGAUGACGUCAAAUCAUCAUGCCCCUUAUGACCUGGGCUACACACGUGCUACAAUGGGUGGUACAACGAGCAGCGAGACCGCGAGGUCAAGCGAAUCUCUAAAAACCAUCCUCAGUUCGGAUUGCAGGCUGCAACUCGCCUGCAUGAAGCUGGAAUCGCUAGUAAUCGCGGAUCAGCACGCCGCGGUGAAUACGUUCCCGGGCCUUGUACACACCGCCCGUCACACCAUGAGAGUUUGUAACACCCAAA
This 654-nucleotide ribosomal RNA is filed under the name uncultured Lactobacillaceae bacterium. RNAcentral describes it as "bacterial SSU rRNA". It matches the Rfam family "Bacterial small subunit ribosomal RNA", at positions 771 to 1425 of the family's 1533-position model. Lineage: Bacteria; Bacillati; Bacillota; Bacilli; Lactobacillales; Lactobacillaceae. The record is from RNAcentral.